RNAcentral lists this long non-coding RNA (695 nucleotides) under Cricetulus griseus (Chinese hamster). RNAcentral's name for it is "lncRNA (ENSCGRG00015030407.1)". Lineage: Eukaryota; Metazoa; Chordata; Mammalia; Rodentia; Cricetidae. The record is from RNAcentral.
CUCGAUCUCUCCUUGUAGCUGAAAAUGACUUUGAACUCGAGACCCUUCUGCCUGCGAUUCCCCAGUGUUGGGACAACUAGCACAGCGGCUUCCCCGAUCCCCACCCCCGGCGGCCUCCACUUCCCCCGCCACCCGCCGCACGCCCGGCCCUAGAACGAGCACCAGGUGGGCCGGCACGAGAACGAGCACCAGGUGGGCCGGCACGAGGGCGAGCACCAGGUGGGAUGGCACGAGAACGAACACCAAGUGAGCCGGCCUGGAGCCCUGCCCCUGAGCCCCCGCCCGAUGAGGUCAGCCAUCUGGACGCGGAGGGGGGGGGAAUUGAGUCUGUUGUACCAGACACCAGACCUUGAGAAUAUGCUGAUCUGGAAUGGCUCUGUGUCUCAUUUGAACCAUCCAAUAGAAAUGAUUCUGUAUUUCGCCUCAUUUGAAAGACUCUGUGUUUCACCUCAUUUGAAUAACUCUGUACUUCGCCUCAUUUGAAUAACCCUGUAUAGCGCCUCAUUUACAUUGACCAAUGGGAAUAGCUCUGUACAAUGCCUCAUUAGAAUUAUCCAAUAGAAUCCCUGCUUCUAGCUUGUGCCUUUUUCCCUAUAUAAGGACCCCUUUCCCUUGGCUCGGGGCGCUUGGCCUCACAGAAGCUAAGUCGCCCGGGUACCCGUAUUUUCAAUAAAGCCUCUUGCUUUUGCAUCCAA